UAAUAAUUUUUUUUGUUUUUGCAUAAUACUUCAUAUUUAUAGAGUUAUAGCAAUUUUAAAACGCAGUCGGACGACUGAUUAUUUAAACGCGACGGAAUUGCCCGAACUCGAAAAUGACGUCAUGAUGUUACUGCCGAAUGCUGCCGAAAGCAUAUAAUACGUAUUGUACAUUCGGUUGAUAUUUAAUAUAGACCGUAAUAUCAUAACAAGAUAUAAACAUGAGCAAGUUGACUGGAUUAAAAAGUUAUCGAUGCUUUUGUACCUUUGUGCAAAAACAUCACGAAAAAUGCAUCCAGUAAAGUGUUUGUGACAGUCUCACGCGAAGAAGUAACGAGAAGAUUAUGGUUUCGAUUGGCACGACGUCCGAAUGACCAACAAAAUCAAAUUAUUUUUGUUGCGAGAAUCAUUUUGUUCUCAAAGAUGACAUAGAUAAUUACAUUCGCUACUCUUUAAUGAGUGGGCCCAUAAAAUUAAAAUCUGGAGUUGUGCCACAUAUUUUUACUUGCCAAUCCAAUAGAAAACGAACUACAGAUCAGUCUCUUAGCGUUGUUUCUGAGAAACGAAGACACAAAGCAGAGAUUGCAGUUAUUUUGGCUACAAGCUCUUUGUUACCUGAUACUACAGUCAAAGAAAAUAUAACACCUAAUAUUCUUACAAAACAACGUUCCAAUCUACAAAGGUCGAAAAUACAAACUUAUUGUUAGAUGACCUUUCCAAUAGUUAUUCCGAUAGUCACACAAUUUAUAAAAGUAUUCAUCAUAAAGGAACACAAGACCUACGAUCUUAUGUCCGCAGUAAAAGUGUAUCGUAAUAUUAAAGUUUCUGUGCCUGACAAGUUUCUGUGUCUACAAGUUCACCAAUUAAGCUUUAUACUUAGAAUCAGAAUAUUACAUUUGACAUCGAUGAAAGUUAACACUCUGACAAAGCAAUCAAACACAGAUAUUUUGACUACUUCGGUAUCAUUUUCCUUACUUCUGACAAUUUCAAGCGAUUAUGAGCCCUAUUCAGAGGAAUCAAG
This 1018-nucleotide unclassified non-coding RNA is filed under the name Acromyrmex echinatior (Panamanian leafcutter ant). RNAcentral's name for it is "uncharacterized LOC105151691, transcript variant X1". The record is from RNAcentral. Lineage: Eukaryota; Metazoa; Arthropoda; Insecta; Hymenoptera; Formicidae.